Molecule: non-coding RNA, 78 nt
Filed under: Neobacillus jeddahensis
Lineage: Bacteria; Bacillati; Bacillota; Bacilli; Caryophanales; Bacillaceae
Description: Cyclic di-GMP-I riboswitch
Rfam family: c-di-GMP-I-GGC riboswitch aptamer
Source: RNAcentral
UGAUAAAGGCAAACCUAUCGAAAGGUAGGGACGCAAAGUCACAGGUCUAGGUAAAUCCUAUGAUGGCUGGGCUGCCGG